RNAcentral lists this ribosomal RNA (429 nucleotides) under Bacteroidota bacterium. RNAcentral describes it as "Bacteroidetes bacterium partial 16S ribosomal RNA". It matches the Rfam family "Bacterial small subunit ribosomal RNA", at positions 355 to 776 of the family's 1533-position model. The record is from RNAcentral. Lineage: Bacteria; Pseudomonadati; Bacteroidota.
UAGGGAAUCUUCCGCAAUGGACGCAAGUCUGACGGAGCAACGCCGCGUGAGUGAAGAAGGAUUUCGGUUCGUAAAACUCUGUUGUUAGAGAAGAACAGCGCAUAGAGUAACUGUUAUGCGUGUGACGGUAUCUAACCAGAAAGCCACGGCUAACUACGUGCCAGCAGCCGCGGUAAUACGUAGGUGGCAAGCGUUGUCCGGAUUUAUUGGGCGUAAAGCGAGCGCAGGCGGUCAAUUAAGUCUGAUGUGAAAGCCCCCGGCUCAACCGGGGAGGGUCAUUGGAAACUGGUUGACUUGAGUGCAGAAGAGGAGAGUGGAAUUCCAUGUGUAACGGUGAAAUGCGUAGAUAUAUGGAGGAACAACAGUGGCGAAGGCGACUCUCUGGUCUGUAACUGACGCUGAGGUUCGAAAGCGUGGGUAGCAAACAGG